UGAGCAAUCUGCCCUUCUCAUCGGAAUAAGCGUUGGAAACGACGUCUAAUGCCGUUAAUACGACCUCCUUUCGCAUGAUCGGAGGUGGAAAGCUCCGGCGGAGAAGGAUGAGCUCGCGGCCUAUCAGCUAGUUGGUGUGGGUAAUGGCCCACCAAGGCGAUGACGGGUAGCCGGCCUGAGAGGGUGACCGGCCACACUGGGACUGAGACACGGCCCAGACUCCUAUGGGA
RNAcentral lists this ribosomal RNA (230 nucleotides) under uncultured bacterium. RNAcentral's name for it is "partial 16S ribosomal RNA". It matches the Rfam family "Bacterial small subunit ribosomal RNA", at positions 118 to 346 of the family's 1533-position model. The record is from RNAcentral.